Molecule: ribosomal RNA, 468 nt
Filed under: uncultured bacterium
Lineage: Bacteria
Description: partial 16S ribosomal RNA
Rfam family: Bacterial small subunit ribosomal RNA
Source: RNAcentral
GAUGAACGCUGGCGGCGUGCUUAACACAUGCAAGUCGAACGAAAAGGCCCUGCUUUUGUUGGGUGCUCGAGUGGCGAACGGGUGAGUAUCACGUGAGUAACCUGCCCUUGACUUUCGGGUAACUUCAGGGAAAUCGGUCUCAUACCGCAUAGAAGCUCCUGCUCCAUGGUGUUCGUUGGAGAAUGUCGGCGGUGGGGGAUCGACUCGCGGCUUACCCGCUUGUUGGUGUGGUAGUUGCUUACGAAGCCUUUGAAGGGUAGCCGGCCUGAGAGGGUGACCGGCCACAUGGGGACUGAGAGAGGGCGCAGACGGGUACGGGAGGCAGCAGUGGGGAAUAUGGCACAGCGAGCGGGAGUCUGAGGUAGCAACGCCCGGUGCGGGAAGACCUGCUAUUGGGGGUAAACCGCUGUCGCAUGUGAUGAAGCGUGCGUGACGGUAAUUGGUCAAGAAGCACCGGCUAACUACGUG